GGGGCUAUAGCUCAGUUGGGAGAGCGCCUGGAUCGCACCCAGGAGGUCGCCGGUUCGAGCCCGGCUAGCUCCA
Molecule: transfer RNA, 73 nt
Filed under: bacterium
Lineage: Bacteria
Also listed under: 16 other names
Description: tRNA-Ala
Rfam family: tRNA
About the family: Transfer RNA (tRNA) molecules are approximately 80 nucleotides in length. Their secondary structure includes four short double-helical elements and three loops (D, anti-codon, and T loops). Further hydrogen bonds mediate the characteristic L-shaped molecular structure. tRNAs have two regions of fundamental functional importance: the anti-codon, which is responsible for specific mRNA codon recognition, and the 3' end, to which the tRNAs corresponding amino acid is attached (by aminoacyl-tRNA synthetases). tRNAs cope with the degeneracy of the genetic code in two manners: having more than one tRNA (with a specific anti-codon) for a particular amino acid; and 'wobble' base-pairing, i.e. permitting non-standard base-pairing at the 3rd anti-codon position.
Source: RNAcentral